GAUGAAGAACGUAGUGAAAUGCGAUAAGUAAUGUGAAUUGCAGAAUUCAGUGAAUCAUCGAAUCUUUGAACGCACAUUGCGCCCCUUGGUAUUCCGAGGGGCAUGCCUGUUCGAGUGUCAUAUUAACCACUCCCGCUUGCGGGGUCUUGGGCUUCGCCUCCGGGCGGGCCUUAAAAUCAGUGGCGGUGCCGUCGGGCUCUACGCGUAGUAAAUUUUCUCGCGAUAGGGUCCCGGUGGAUGCUUGCCAACAACCCCCAACUUCUUAAGGUUGACCUCGGAUCAGGUAGGGAUACCCGCUGAACUUAAGCAUAUCAAUAAGCGGAGGA
Molecule: unclassified non-coding RNA, 326 nt
Filed under: soil metagenome
Description: partial contains 5.8S ribosomal RNA, internal transcribed spacer 2, and large subunit ribosomal RNA
Rfam family: 5.8S ribosomal RNA (bases 1-120)
Source: RNAcentral